Parasteatoda tepidariorum (common house spider) is the source of this 445-nucleotide non-coding RNA. The record is from RefSeq and is a predicted model, not a curated record. NCBI's taxonomy places the organism in Eukaryota, Metazoa, Arthropoda, Arachnida, Araneae, Theridiidae.
ACAUAAUUGCAUUCAUUAGUUAUGAUUAUUAUGAAUAGUAACAAAGCUAAAAUAAUUGAUUUUAAAACACAUGUAGUUCAACUAAUAUUAGAAAAAAAUAGAUUUUUUGCACUUAAUUUUCCAAAAGAAAUCUUUAAAGUAACAAAAUGGUUUCAAAGCAACCCUAAACAAUAGUACAUUUUUCAAUAAAUUUGCUUUUAGGUGCUUUCUCCAAGAAAAGAUAUUGGUACCCCUCUCACAUCAAAAGGUAAAAAGAAAAGAGCUAAAGAAAAUGAAGAUAGUAUAUGUGAAGAUUCUGUGAGUUUGGAUAUAAGGUUAGAAGAAUCCAGAGAUACAUCAGCAUUUGUUGCUAAUUUCAAGGAAGCUGAAAGAAAAGAAUUAGAAUCAAUCUUGAUGUUGCGUGCAAAGAAUAUUAGAAAACACACCGAAGAUGGUCCCGACUCAC